Molecule: unclassified non-coding RNA, 6574 nt
Filed under: Leishmania donovani
Lineage: Eukaryota; Euglenozoa; Kinetoplastea; Trypanosomatida; Trypanosomatidae
Description: gene:LdHU3.35.3360(CDS-product:cytochrome_P450_re ductase_putative)
Source: RNAcentral
CGCUUGCAGAAGUGUAUUUCCCUUUUGUCGAACCAGCCUUUUUCGUUGCCUCGUUCUCUAUGUUUUUUUUCUUGGGAUUACGACCCCCCUCCUCCCCCACUCUCUCUCCUCUGCCCUCUUGUAAGUCAUUCGUGCGUGCUUGCCGGCUCUCGGGUGCAUCCGCUACCGCUACUGCUGCCUGUCGCUCCACCGCCGUCGGCCUCCCGUGUCUCACUCUCUGUGCCACACGACAAGAGCGCUAACACCCCUGCGAACACGCAGCAGCGGUAUCGCACUCGACGGCGACCACUAGGAGGAGCCGCAAAGUGUCGUUAUUGCCUCCUUGCACACAAGCACUCGUUCUCCACACUUACAUCUCCAGUGUAAGCCAUUCCUCCUCGCGAGGCACGCGGUCUACAUAAUACAUAUUUAUCUAUAUAUAUAUACAUGUAUACAAGGAGAGACUAGCGAACGCGGUCACAUCUGCUCGUCUAGUUCUUUUUUUUUUCGUUGUUGUUUGACAGGAGAUUAUAACAUAAAUAGAUCGUUUUGUUUGUGUGUGUGGUCUAUCAAAAGAUUCUCUUCGGCUCUGCGUCUCUGCCGCUGCCCUUUUCACUACUCACUCCCGCACGACCGACCACGAGAGAAGUUGCUCUCUCACGCCAGCCCUCUUUUCUUUUUUUCGCUGUUGUUGCUGUUUUCUCCUUUGGUGAUUUUGCUCUCGCCAAUCGCCUCCGACCACUUUCGUGUGUGCGAGCGCGUGGGCGUGUUCUCCUUUUUUUUUUUGACGUUUAACGUUUUGCAUGUGAACAGAAACGAAAAGAAAAAAAAACAGAUCGACGUCUAAAAUCAGGUGUCCUUCUUUUCCUCCAUCACUUCUCCUUGGCUUUCCUUUCUGUCUUUUCCUAAGCCGUUUCUUCUCUUUUUCUCUCCUUUUUCCCUUUUUUUGGGUGUGCACAAAUUUCUUGUUUUGUUAUAUGCGGCGCUUUCUGUCUUUCCAACUCUCCUUCUCCCCCCUCUCCUCCCCACCACUCCUCACGAUCGAGCACCCGCCAUCAUUUUUUUUUUGUUCAAACCGAUUUCAUUUUUUGGUGGGCUUCUCGCGUGGCGUCAGCGGCGGUGCCUUUGCGGUGCUGCGAAUCGACUCUUUCUGUUUUUUUUUUGUUGUUGAGCUGAGCCGCUCUUUUUUUUUUCUUGUUUGCUUUCCCCAGUCGGGCUCCGCCGUUUAGCUCCGUCAACGCGCCGCCGCACUGCCAAUACUUUUGAGAUCUACUUCGCUGUUGGACGAGAGGGAGGAAUAACCAGCGUCGCGUAUUUCGCUUCGCUUGUUUGGUUCGUUUGCGCUGACCCUUGCGUGCGAUUCUGUGUGGCGUUCUCGAUCCCUCUCUGGCCGACAGUGGCUUGGUUGAUCUCAAUUUCCUUUCUCUUUCUUCGUUUCUCGCUGACAAGAUUUGUGCCUUCUCUUUGGCUUCUAUUCACCUCUUUCUUUACGCGGUGAGGGUUCUCGCGUGUCCCCCGUACGUGCGACGGGCUGCUCUAAAGAUUUCUUGGGCUUGUCGUCCUGUCGUUUUUUCGUGGUGCGGGGGGAGGGGCGUUGUUUUGAGGUUUUCGACCCAAAUCAGAGGAAACAAGUGAAAGAGCAACGAGGGCAUUCACCGCGCUGCUUCUCUUGUGUAGUCCUGCGGCGGGCUCUCUGCCGAGUUUCUCUUUGUCCCCCUCGUCAACGCCGUGUUCUCUUUCCAGCGGUUACGCGCACAGAGAGCCUCACAGGAGGCGGCGACUCCGCAACGGGCGCCACCGACGUUGUCGUUUUUUUUUUAUAUCUUUUCGUUCUCGUUGUCUGUGCGUCACGCGACUAAACGAGCAUAAUGGCGCAAAAGCGGUACGUGGCCCUGGUAGGAGCGUUGGUGCUUGGCGCCACCUCCGCGGUGCUUCUGAUGCGACAGUGGAGAGUGCAGCGCGAGCGCCGCGAGUUUGCGGAGCGGUACGCGAAGCAAAUAAAGGCGGCCCGUGAGGCGCAUGCCCAGUCCUUGAACGGUGGCAGUGCCUCGCCGGACUCAGCGGACAUUAGCGACGCCGACUUCGACGAUGAGGCCGCGGCCGUGAAGGUUAUCUUCGGCAGCGAGUCUGGCAACGCUGAGGGACUGGCGAAGGGCUUCGUCAUGACACUGCGCGACCGCGGCGUCCAGGCCGCGCUCAUCGAUCCUAGCCGGUGGGCGUACAUGGAGGACUACUUGUACCAUAACAAGCGGAACGUGCCGCUGUUUCACCCCAUCAAGGUGGUGUCCACCAACACCAGCUCCGCCGAGAAGGGGAGUCGCAAGACUGCAGAGGAAGCGAACACACCACGUCCGCCGCUGGUGUACAUCUUCAUUGUUGCAACUGCUGGUGAGGGCGAACCGACCGGUAACUUCAUGGCUCUCUUCCAGGAAAUGCAGUCGGCGGUGCGGCGAGCUACCACAGCCAAGGUACCUGCCCAGUCCAGUGCCGUCACCGCAGGUGCGGCGCCGUCGUCGGCUACCGAGGAGGCACCAUUCAAGAAUAUCUACUACGCAGUGUUUGGACUCGGUGACAGCUCCUACAAGUACUACUGCCGCUCCGCCACCGACACGAACACUCUCCUCAAAAAGGGUGGCGGCAUCAACGUGCAUCGUGUCGGCUUCGGCGACGCCCGCCACGGCAUGCAGGAAGACGUCUUCGAUGAGUGGCAGGAGAAGGUGAUGCUCGCGCUGGAAGAGAAGUGUGGGCUGGAGAUGACAACGGGCACGCGUGCGCCGCCAAAGCCCGAGCUCCAGUUCCGCUUCCUGUCUUCCACCGCAGCGACGACGGCAGCCACCACGUCCACCGUCCCUCAGGCGGGCCCCUGCGGAGCCGCCGAGGGCACCGCAGCGCCAAGCACGACCACCAUCACGAACAACGCAGAUCCGAACCGCAGCGUUCUCCUGAGAACGGCAACACCGAGCAGCGCCGUGGCGGCGGAGAGCACGAGCGCUCCGCCCAUCUCGCUCCCGUUUCCGCCGCCACCGGUGCUGCUGGAGCCGUCGCUGAUGAACCCGACAAGGAUCCGCCUCGUAACGAAGACGCAGCUGUCGCCGCCGCGCGACAGCGACGGCAGCAGCGUCUACCGCUUCUGCUUCGAGACGGACGGCACAGGCAUCUCGUACCAGGCCGGUGACCAUCUUGGCAUCUUUCCCACGAGCCCGCCGGAGAUGGUGGCGCGGUGCGCCAAGGCCCUCUCCAUCCCAGCAGGCGAGCUGGAGACACCGGUGGAGCUGUGCGAGAUGGUGCCAUCGCGCGGCAUUUUCCGAAACGUGCUGCCGGCCCGUGUACCUUUGCGCGUUGUGCUGCAACGCUACGUGGACCUGUGCGGCCGUCCAAAGAAGUCGACUCUGCGCGUUCUCGCCAAGUACUGCACUGACCCGGUCCAGCAGGAGGCCUUCCUCGAGCUUCUCCGCCUCCCCGCAGAGAAGGAGGCGGAGGAGGCGGCUGCCGGUAGCUGUGCUGCGUGGAAGCCGAAGAAGCUGCGCACUGUCGUGGACUAUCUCGAGAAGUUCCCUAGCUGCUGCUGCAUUCCGCUGGGCCACUUCAUCGAGGUCAUGCCACGCACGCAGCCGCGCUACUACUCCAUCGCGUCGGACCGGAUGUCCCACGGCACCAAGGUCGAGAUCAUCGUGCGAGUACUCACGGACGGGCUGGCCAGCUCCUACCUCGCCCAUCGCAUCGAGGAAGGGGACGAGGUAUUUGCGUACGUCCGCAUCACCACCUUCCAUCUGCCGCAGCGCAUUGGAGAGAAGCGACCGGUGCUCAUGAUCGGCCCGGGCACCGGUGCUGCCGCUAUGGUAGGGUUUUGCUACAGGAAGGAGGCCCUCAUGCGAAAGCAACCGGCGGCCCAUUACGGCCCGACCGUUUUUCUCUUCGGUGCGCAGCGUCGCCAAACGGAGUACUUUGUGGAGGAAGAGGUCCAGCGCUGGGCUAUGGCGCCGGCCGAGAUGAAGCAAUGGGACGCCGAUCACCCGACCUCCCACGCCGGGCUGGCGGCGCGUCGCAGCAAGACGCACUCGUGGGAGCCACUGCCCGCCUCUGUCAUCACCACCGUUGAUUGCGCCUUUAGUAGAGAUCAAGAGGAGAAGAGGUACGUCACCUCUCUCAUCGACAAGCACAAAGAUCUCAUCUACGAGAUGCUCACGAGCACUGCCGGCGGCGGAUGCCUUGUUUUCUUGUCCGGUGAAGCAUCUGUCAUGGCGAAGGACGUGGACCGGGCACUGGUGGCGCUGCUGCAGGACCGCGGAGGCAUGACACGCCUGGCGGCGCUUGAGUUUCUGCGGCGCAUGGAGAGCGACCACCGCUAUCUCAAGGAUGUGUACUAGACGUCGGCCCAGUCGGCUUCUGCUUCCCCAUUCAGCGCUCACCUGUCUCUGUCUGGGCCCAUGCCCGGAUGAGGGUCGCGCAGGUGGGGCGCGCGUUCUGAAGCCCCCAUCACCUCGCCUCGUUUGCGUGUUCUGUCGCCGCAGCUCUUGUUUGCUUUACUGGGUUUCCACUUCCAUGUUUGUUGGAUGUUUCUCGCCCACCUCUGUCUGUCGCAAGGCCCCUCCCUCUCUCCCUGCGGCGGCGUUAUCUCUCCAUAUAAUGUGUGCUCCUUUUCCUUUCGUUUCAUCCGUUUCUGUGUUUCAUGUUGUUGUGUGGUGGUGUGCGUCCUGCGAUGGCUGUGUGAGCCUCUUGCUCGCUGUUUCCUCUGCGCCUGUGCGCGACGAUAGAAGGAACAUCGAUUUUGCACCUCUUCGCGUGUCGUCUUUUCCCUUGCUUUCUCCUUUCCUUUUCCUACGACGGGUGGCCACGUUAGCUCUUCUCAUACAGGCUCCGUGCUUGUUGCUGCACUCCCCACUCGGCCUGCAAGUGGAUGUGCGCAUGCAUGGCUGUUAGUGUGCGUCGGCGCCGACGUUCCGCCACCCGCUCACCCAUCUGCUUUGCCUCUUCCCUCACCACGCACUCGUGUCAUUAAACUCCACUUCUCUUUGUAUCUUGCCUCCCACCCCUCUCUCUUGCCCCGCCCCCUCUUCCGCGUCUGCCACAUUCUCUCUUCCGGGUUUGCUUGUCCGAGUGAUUUCCUUUCCUGUGUGUAUGUGUGUAUGCGUAUGCGUGUGCGUGUGUGUGCGCGCGCUCUUCCGCUGCUUCGAGGCAGCAGUCCAGCCACUCCUCCUCCUCUUCGUCCGUCCUCGUCCGCGGCCGUGCCGCUUAUGGGGCGGUCGUGAUCGUCCUCUUCGUGGCUUUGUCUCUCUUUUUCUUUUUCGUUCGCUUUCGUUACUGUGCGUGUGCGUCUUUGUGUGUGUGCAGAUGCCGUUGCCUCUUUUCACGACUCUCUUCUCGGUGAUUGAACUCUUUUGUUUUUCCCCUUCGCUCAUCAGACGACGAGAGGCGAACGUCAGCGGCAGUUCGUGUGUCCAUAAGCAACGGGAUGCUACGAGAGGUUUUGGCAGAGGUCCACCAAAGUGCAAGAGCAUGAGUAGGAAAUCGAGCGUAUGUGCUUAGCCUUCUCUGAGUUUGUCCUACUCAUGACUUGUGUCGCGCCGAGACUGCUGUUGGUGUCAUCGACCAUGCAGCCCCAUCGGCUGCUCCUUGGUGCAAUCGCCUUCGUUCUCUUGCCUCUUUUUACUCCCGUCUUUUUUGCGCUUGUGACUUUACCCUUCCGCAGCGACGAUCAUGAUGAUGCUGCCGGCGGCAGUCAUACAAUCCGCUCUGAGCGAUGGCACUGAGUUCAAACAAGUAAGUAAUAUGUACACACACAGCACCAAGAAGGACAUGUUGGUCUUUCAGAGGAAAUGCGAACAUCAUCAUCGAUCUGUGCACCUGUGUUUGCGCCGGUGCCUCGCCGGGCAUAUCCGCAGCUCGGGUGUUCUUUUCCUCCUCUCCAUCGUUCUCGAAUGGCAUCCGGCAGCUUGCUGAGAAGCCGUCCGCGAAGGCUGUGGAAGAGCGUCGUCUGAUGCAUCGUGGUCAGACCUGCGGAGCGCCUCCGUAGCUGGAGUGUUGGUGUGCUUUUAGCCCCCCCCCCUCUUCGUCUCCUUUAUGCCUGAGUUAGCUCACAGCAGAAAACCAGCAAGUUCGCACCUCGACGACCACACGUCACGGCACCUGCUUGGAUUUUCGAUAGAGUGCCAGCGUCGCGCUGUCUCUCUCUCCCGCUCUCGCUCUCUGUGGCACACCAUCCAACGACGAUAACUGCGGUAAACAGGACCGUGUGCUCUGCUUCUUUUCAUUGCUAUUUCUUCCUCUAUUUCUUUCGUUGCUGUUCGAAUUCGAGUAUCAUGUACUGUGAUGAUCAUGUCUUCAUGUCCUUUUCUGUUUCUUCGGCGCCGUGCUGCCUCGUUGUUCGUAAGUCUGUUGUUUGCAUUAUGUGUGCGCGCGCGUGCGUGCAUCUUUGUCCACGCGAUCUCCCUCUUUUUCCUUUCCGACGUCUCUCUUGUAGCGACUGCCUGCCUCUCCGUCCCCCGGCACUUUCUCGGCCCAGUCGUUCCACCACGAGAAAGAGAGAGUUGGGGGCUGGUUCUUCCACAGUGUCGUUAACCGCCACGAUGGCCACGAAAGACUCCAGGCAGACGUG